This is a long non-coding RNA of Lotus japonicus, 1621 nucleotides long. RefSeq lists it as uncharacterized. The transcript is spliced from 5 exons. The record is from RefSeq and is a predicted model, not a curated record. NCBI's taxonomy places the organism in Eukaryota, Viridiplantae, Streptophyta, Magnoliopsida, Fabales, Fabaceae.
UCCUCACCAGAUUCAGCUACACCCCAAAUUGCCUCAUCACUAUCCUCUGAUCAUAUAAUGACAGAACACACAUCCUCCAAAGCACCCUCAUUUGACAGCAAAGAAAUUCCAUGACAUAACAUAUACAUUGUACACAUCUUCUCUUACUACCUCCCAUCAGCACCAGCAUUGACUUCAAGGCUGGAAAGUUACUGUAGAUUAGGGUGGUUUUCUCUGAUCUGAAUCUCGAGCCUUCUGAUCAUCUCCUCAUCAGCACCAUUAUAAACAACCCCUAAACGCUUCGCCAAUCUCCAAGUCUGCCUUGCUCUAGAACUUAUGCCUUCACCGCCUGAAUCUUCAUCUGACCAAGCAUGAACCUCUUCCUCCACCCGCUGCUUUUUCGGCUUGUUUUUACUACCCUUUGGUCUACCUCUUUUUGCACGACUUUUCCCAUCUAAUUUUCUGCCCCGAGUACCGCCUGGAAUCCCUCCUUUAUUGCGCCCCCUUCGUUGCUUCACAGCAGCUAAAAUUGCGUCAUCAGAAUAAACCCUUUCUUCAAACUCUGUUUCAACAUGAUCCUCUAUCCCAGUCUCAAACUUGCAAUUCUUCGCAGGAAUGGGCUCUUCAAAAUUAAUUUGGGACGCCCCCAUCUUCUGACCCACUGUUAUUUUUAAUGUUUCUGACCCACCAACAUUAAGCCUCGCCAAAGCUUUUAAAUUUUAGCACAAAUUAUUUUGAUUGGUUUAUUUUGCCAACCCAUGUUGACUUAUUUCAUGAGGCUUCAACUAUAAAUAACACAUAAAGUUUAGCGUUCAAAACAUUAAUCCUUCUUUCUCCAACCGUCUGCGUUUUUAGUUUUGUAUUUCUAUAUAAUUUUUACCUCAUCUUUCUCACAAUUUUUGUUGUUGUUCUGAAUUAUUUGCUUCUCCCUGCAUUAGAUUUCGUACUCAACAAAGGUUAUCAUGAAUGCGGAAAUCCCCUAAAGAGGAGCAAAAUCUGAAAUCUCUACACACCGGGAUGUUUGUUGAAGUAUAUUGAACUGAAGAAGAUUGGAUUUUUUACAACUCUGCUUCUCUCAUGUUAUGGUUGUUGAAAGUGUGAAAGAUAUUAUGUUGACGGGUCUUAGAUGAAGUGAGAUAACAGUUCCCUCCAUUGUUAGUCGUUGCAAACAGAUUUUGCUCUUGGCUUUUAAGAAAAUUGGCUAUGCCUUCUAGAAUUGAUUGUUAGGAAAACCGGGAUAAUUUCCAGGAAAUUUCAAAGCCCAAAUUCAAUUGUCUUUUAUUUGGUUAUCAACACACAUUCUGCAUGUGCUUCAGUUUCCUCUUUACAAGAAAAGCUCCAGGGACAAAGAUAGUGCACUGGCGGAAAAUAUUGUGACUAUUGUUCAUGAUGGAAUAGAAAGGAGGAACUCAAAUUUUCCAGAGUUACCAAAAUUAGAAACAACAUACAAAAUUUUCAGUGUAUUCUAAUAAGUGAAAAUAAGGCUCUUAUGCCACUACUACAUGCUUCUGACCUUAUGUUUAGAAAUUUCUCUCGAAGAACCACACCAUUUUGCCUUGGUUGAGACAAAUGGACACCUAGACAGUGAAAAUAUAAUCAGUGUUGGUUUUUUUAUUGAUUAUAUAUUAUUGUUCUUUUCAUU